UGAAUGCGGGGGCGUCGUGUGGGUGAAGACGGAGCGGGCAGACGUUAGUGGGGAUACAUGUGCGGAAGGCUCACGCCGGGUGACGGAAUAGGAAGAGGUGAAAGCGCCGGGUGGAAACGGGGAAAUGCAUGUGGAGCGGUUCGAUUAGAUGCUGGGAGAGGGGGGGAGAAUUCCAGGUGGAGCGGUGAGAUGCGUAGAGAUAUGGAGGAAUACCGGUGGCGAAGGCGGCCCCCAGGACAAAGACUGACGCUCAGGUGCGAAAGCGUUGGGAGCAAACAGGAGUAGAUACCCCAGUAGUC
This 299-nucleotide ribosomal RNA is filed under the name uncultured Acetobacter sp. Its description in RNAcentral is "partial 16S ribosomal RNA". The stretch from base 54 to 299 matches the Rfam family "Bacterial small subunit ribosomal RNA", at positions 550 to 795 of the family's 1533-position model. The record is from RNAcentral. Lineage: Bacteria; Pseudomonadati; Pseudomonadota; Alphaproteobacteria; Acetobacterales; Acetobacteraceae.